This 253-nucleotide ribosomal RNA is filed under the name uncultured bacterium. RNAcentral describes it as "partial 16S ribosomal RNA". It matches the Rfam family "Bacterial small subunit ribosomal RNA", at positions 524 to 776 of the family's 1533-position model. The record is from RNAcentral.
UACGUAGGGGGCAAGCGUUGUCCGGAUUUAUUGGGCGUAAAGAGCUCGUAGGCGGUUUGUCGCGUCUGCUGUGAAAUCUUAGGGCUUAACCCUGAGCUUGCAGUGGGUACGGGCAGACUAGAGUGCGGUAGGGGAGACUGGAAUUCCUGGUGUAGCGGUGAAAUGCGCAGAUAUCAGGAGGAACACCGGUGGCGAAGGCGGGUCUCUGGGCCGUAACUGACGCUGAGGAGCGAAAGCGUGGGGAGCAAACAGG